RNAcentral lists this ribosomal RNA (465 nucleotides) under uncultured bacterium. RNAcentral describes it as "bacterial SSU rRNA". It matches the Rfam family "Bacterial small subunit ribosomal RNA", at positions 198 to 644 of the family's 1533-position model. The record is from RNAcentral.
GGAGAAAAGCAGGGGAUCGCAAGACCUUGCGCUUUUGGAGCGGCCGAUGCCUGAUUAGCUUGUUGGUGAGGUAAAAGCUCACCAAGGCUCCGAUCAGUAGCUGGUCUGAGAGGACGACCAGCCACACUGGGACUGAGACACGGCCCAGACUCCUACGGGAGGCAGCAGUGGGGAAUUUUGGACAAUGGGGGCAACCCUGAUCCAGCCAUGCCGCGUGAGUGAAGAAGGCCUUCGGGUUGUAAGGCUCUUUCAGCCGGAACGAAACGGUCACGGUCAAUACCCGUGACUACUGACGGUACCGGAAGAAGAAGCACCGGCUAACUACGUGCCAGCAGCCGCGGUAAUACGUAGGGUGCGAGCGUUAAUCGGAAUUACUGGGCGUAAAGCGUGCGCAGGCGGUUUUGUAAGUCAGAUGUGAAAUCCCCGGGCUUAACCUGGGAACUGCGUUUGAAACUACAAAGCUAG